RNAcentral lists this ribosomal RNA (253 nucleotides) under uncultured bacterium. Its description in RNAcentral is "partial 16S ribosomal RNA". It matches the Rfam family "Bacterial small subunit ribosomal RNA", at positions 524 to 776 of the family's 1533-position model. The record is from RNAcentral.
UACGUAGGUGGCAAGCGUUGUCCGGAUUUAUUGGGUUUAAAGGGUGCGUAGGCGGCCCUGUAAGUCAGUGCUGAAAUAUCCCGGCUUAACCGGGAGGGUGGCAUUGAUACUGCGGGGCUAGAGUACAGAUGAGGUAGGCGGAAUUGACGGUGUAGCGGUGAAAUGCUUAGAUAUCGUCAAGAACACCUAUAGCGAAGGCAAGUUACUAGGCUGUAACUGACGCUGAGGCACGAAGGUGUGGGGAGCAAACAGG